This 171-nucleotide small RNA is filed under the name Staphylococcus aureus. RNAcentral describes it as "5'UTR". The record is from RNAcentral. Lineage: Bacteria; Bacillati; Bacillota; Bacilli; Caryophanales; Staphylococcaceae.
UAACUUGUGACAGAAAUAUGUAAGAUUAUUACAAUGAACAGGCUUUAACUGAUUAAUAUUGUAAUGUGUUUUCUCUUAUAGUAAAAUGUAAGCGAUUACACAACUCAACUAUAUUUUCCUAAUAAUUAUAUUGUUAAGGAGGGCUACUUUGACAGGCUUUUCAGUGUAUUU